CGGACGGGUGAGUAACGCGUGGAAAACCUGCCGUAUACUGGGGGAUAACACUUAGAAAUAGGUGCUAAUACCGCAUAAGCGCACAGCUUCGCAUGAAGUGGUGUGAAAAACUCUGGUGGUAUACGAUGGUUCCGCGUCUGAUUAGCUUGUUGGUGGGGUAAUGGCUCACCAGGGCGACGAUCAGUAGCCGGCCUGAGAGGGUGAACGGCCACAUUGGGACUGAGACACGGCCCAAACUCCUACGGGAGGCAGCAG
This 255-nucleotide ribosomal RNA is filed under the name uncultured bacterium. Its description in RNAcentral is "partial 16S ribosomal RNA". It matches the Rfam family "Bacterial small subunit ribosomal RNA", at positions 99 to 354 of the family's 1533-position model. The record is from RNAcentral.